CUACGGGUGGCAGCAGUGAGGAAUAUUGGUCAAUGGGAGAGAUCCUGAACCAGCCAAGCCGCGUGAGGGAAGACGGCCCUAUGGGUUGUAAACCUCUUUUGUCGGAGAACAAAACCCGGGACGUGUCCCGGACUGCGUGUAUCCGCAGAAACAGCAUCGGCUAACUCCGUGCCAGCAGCCGCGGUAAUACGUAGGGGGCGAGCGUUGUCCGGAAUGACUGGGCGUAAAGGGAGUGUAGGCGGCAUAUUAAGUUAUGUGUGAAAGCCCGCGGCUCAACCGCGGAAUUGCACAUAAAACUGGUAAGCUGGAGUGCAGGAGAGGUAAGUGGAAGUCCCGGUGUAGCGGUGGAAUGCGUAGAUAUCGGGAGGAACACCAGAGGCGAAGGCGACUGACUGGACUGUAACUGACGCUGAGGCUCGAAAGCGUGGGGAGCAAACAGGAUUAGAUACCCUGGUAGUC
This 459-nucleotide ribosomal RNA is filed under the name uncultured bacterium. Its description in RNAcentral is "partial 16S ribosomal RNA". It matches the Rfam family "Bacterial small subunit ribosomal RNA", at positions 339 to 795 of the family's 1533-position model. The record is from RNAcentral.